AUUGAACGCUGGCGGCAUGCUUUACACAUGCAAGUCGAACGGCAGCGCGGGCUUCGGCCUGGCGGCGAGUGGCGAACGGGUGAGUAAUGCAUAGGAACGUGCCCAGUAGUGGGGGAUAGCCUGGCGAAAGCCGGAUUAAUACCGCAUACGACCUGAGGGAGAAAGCGGGGGACCGUAAGGCCUCGCGCUAUUGGAGCGGCCUAUGUCGGAUUAGCUAGUUGGUGGGGUAAAGGCUUACCAAGGCGACGAUCCGUAGCUGGUCUGAGAGGACGACCAGCCACACUGGAACUGAGACACGGCCCAGACUCCUACGGGAGGCAGCAGUGGGGAAUUUUGGACAAUGGGGGCAACCCUGAUCCAGCCAUGCCGCGUGCGGGAAGAAGGCCUUCGGGUUGUAAACCGCUUUUGUUCGGGAAGAAAUCCUCUGGGCUAAUACCCCGGUGGGAUGACGUUACCGGAAGAAUAAGCACCGGCUAACUACGUG
Molecule: ribosomal RNA, 484 nt
Filed under: uncultured bacterium
Lineage: Bacteria
Description: partial 16S ribosomal RNA
Rfam family: Bacterial small subunit ribosomal RNA
Source: RNAcentral